Chloroflexus aurantiacus J-10-fl is the source of this 115-nucleotide ribosomal RNA. Lineage: Bacteria; Bacillati; Chloroflexota; Chloroflexia; Chloroflexales; Chloroflexaceae. The record is from Rfam.
GGGUGUGUGAGGAGCGCGGUGGACCCACCCCGAUCCAUCCCGAACCGGGUCGUGAAACAUCGCAGCGCCGAUCCUACUGGCGGCUCUCCGCUGGGAACCUAGGUCCACGCACCCG